GGGAUGUAGCUCAGUGGUAGAGUGCUCACCUAGCAUGUGCGAGGCCCUGGGUUCGAUCCCUGGCACUACUCA
This 72-nucleotide transfer RNA is filed under the name Marmota monax (woodchuck). Its description in RNAcentral is "tRNA.Ala". The stretch from base 5 to 65 matches the Rfam family "tRNA", at positions 6 to 65 of the family's 71-position model. Rfam says of the family: Transfer RNA (tRNA) molecules are approximately 80 nucleotides in length. Lineage: Eukaryota; Metazoa; Chordata; Mammalia; Rodentia; Sciuridae. The record is from RNAcentral.